GAGGGUAUAGCUCAGGGGUAGAGUGUAAUGCUUAGCAUGCACGAGGUCCUGGGUUCAAUCCCAGUACCUCCG
Molecule: transfer RNA, 72 nt
Filed under: Camelus bactrianus (Bactrian camel)
Lineage: Eukaryota; Metazoa; Chordata; Mammalia; Artiodactyla; Camelidae
Also listed under: 1 other name
Rfam family: tRNA
About the family: Transfer RNA (tRNA) molecules are approximately 80 nucleotides in length. Their secondary structure includes four short double-helical elements and three loops (D, anti-codon, and T loops).
Source: Rfam by way of RNAcentral